Molecule: ribosomal RNA, 32 nt
Filed under: Heterorhabditis indica
Lineage: Eukaryota; Metazoa; Nematoda; Chromadorea; Rhabditida; Heterorhabditidae
Description: partial 18S ribosomal RNA
Source: RNAcentral
UUCCGUAGGUGAACCUGCAGAUGGAUCAUCGU